This 201-nucleotide long non-coding RNA is filed under the name Musa acuminata (dwarf banana). Its description in RNAcentral is "long non-coding RNA (MACU_LNC003328)". Lineage: Eukaryota; Viridiplantae; Streptophyta; Magnoliopsida; Zingiberales; Musaceae. The record is from RNAcentral.
UUUUUUACUUGGGAACAUUUGCUUUUGAAAUGUCCUGACUUUUUACAUUCGUAGCAUAUGACUUGUUCUUUCUUGGGUUUAAUUUUAUUUUUAGUGUCAUUUUUAGAUUUAUUUCUUUUUAUGAAUUUUUUGAACUUUCUUGUAAAGAAUGCCAAGUCAUCAUCAUAGUCCUUGAAUUUUCUUUUAAGUAGUCUUCAUGAG